Monodelphis domestica (gray short-tailed opossum) is the source of this 719-nucleotide long non-coding RNA. RefSeq lists it as uncharacterized. Lineage: Eukaryota; Metazoa; Chordata; Mammalia; Didelphimorphia; Didelphidae. The record is from RefSeq and is a predicted model, not a curated record.
AUACACACACACACACACACACAUAUACAUAAUCCUACUUUUGUACCUCCUGUAAUCAAGAGGAAUGACCAACAGUUUCUGCUUUUUGAAUCUUCCAUAGAAUUCUCAAUUCUCCCUCCCCUCCACCAGUUGAAUGUUCCAUCUGCCUCUCCUGGAUCCAUCUUCUUUCACUCUCAGGUUUUACUCCGCUUUUGUCCAUUCCUAUUGAUUACACUCCUCUCACCCCCUCUAUCCAAUUCAAACUUUUAUAAAUUUCAGAGAAGUUAUCAAAUUAAUGAUCUCCCAAAACUCUGAAAUCCUGUACUCUAUUCCAUUUUUGUUCAUUCCAAAAUAUGAUCUUGAUGAAGUCAAUUCAAAGAAAUCACAAGGAGACUUCGUAUCAUUCUAAUAAUAUCAAAGGAAGCAAUUGGGCAAAAUGGAUAAGAGGUGAAGAAACUAAGACAAAGAGAACUUAAAUGCCUUGCCCAGGGUGACACAUUGAAGAUAUGAGAAACAACCAUGAAAAAUAAAAGAACUGUUAAAAGAGAAAUAAUCCAGUAAUUUAGGUAAAGGAGGAAUAUUGUACAAACAGAAUCAAAGAUCAUACCCAUAAUGAAUUCGAAGUGUAUCCAGUAAAAAUUGCACACCAUACUUCUUUCGGAAGGCCCUUCUACUAUCUUUGAUAAUGGUGGAAAUAUAUUGUAUGUGACCUAAAAUAAAAUUUACUAUUAAAAAAUUCA